Acanthosepion pharaonis is the source of this 103-nucleotide non-coding RNA. The record is from the annotation of a GenBank genome assembly. Lineage: Eukaryota; Metazoa; Mollusca; Cephalopoda; Sepiida; Sepiidae.
CACUGCUGAAACACCGGUUCUCGUUCGAUCACCGAAGUUAAGCAUCGUAGAGCCAGGUCAGUACUUAGAUGGGGGACCGCUUGGGAACACCUGGUACUGUAAG